RNAcentral lists this long non-coding RNA (406 nucleotides) under Zalophus californianus (California sea lion). Its description in RNAcentral is "Nuclear RNase P (ENSZCAG00015011787.1)". It matches the Rfam family "Nuclear RNase P", at positions 90 to 301 of the family's 301-position model. Rfam says of the family: Ribonuclease P (RNase P) is a ubiquitous endoribonuclease, found in archaea, bacteria and eukarya as well as chloroplasts and mitochondria. The record is from RNAcentral. Lineage: Eukaryota; Metazoa; Chordata; Mammalia; Carnivora; Otariidae.
GGCAGUGACAUCAACAAUGUCCCAAGCUCUGGAAGGCCCCUCUGGCCUCUCCUAGCCCUCGUAAAUUCAGUUUCUUUGGCAUUCCCUUCUUUCCCAAUCCCUCCACUCUACCCCUCCUUCAAUUUAAUUUGAGGCAUUUGUGAAAGGGAUAUUUUCUUCUCUCCAUCCCUGCUGCAGAGCACAGUACCUGGCAUUUAAAAUCAUAAAAUCUGCGGGGCUCCCCACGUGUGAGGGCAGAUGGGUCAGGAGAUACCAUGGACCCCGCCCCUGGGGAGGGGCCUGGCUGAUGCCUCCUUAGCUGGAGCUUGGAAUAGACUCACGGCCAGCAAAGUGAGUUCAAUGGCUGAGGGGACAUACUCUGCCCAGGGGACCUCAUAACCCCAUUCAGACUACUCUCCACCCCGCC